This 372-nucleotide ribosomal RNA is filed under the name uncultured rumen bacterium. RNAcentral's name for it is "bacterial SSU rRNA". It matches the Rfam family "Bacterial small subunit ribosomal RNA", at positions 19 to 363 of the family's 1533-position model. The record is from RNAcentral.
UUGGCUCAGGAUGAACGCUGGCGGCGUGCUUAACACAUGCAAGUCGAACGGAGUUAAGCGCUGGUUUGAUGCUAGCUUGCUAGUGGAUUUCCUUGCUUAACUUAGUGGCGGACGGGUGAGUAACGCGUGAGUAACCUGCCUCUCAGUGGGGAAUAACGCCCUGAAAAGAGCGCUAAUACCGCAUAACACAUAUUGACCGCAUGGUCGGUAUGUCAAAGAUUUAUCGCUGAGAGAUGGACUCGCGUCCGAUUAGCUAGUUGGUGAGGUAACGGCCCACCAAGGCGACGAUCGGUAGCCGGACUGAGAGGUUGAACGGCCACAUUGGGACUGAGACACGGCCCAGACUCCUACGGGAGGCAGCAGUGGGGAAUA